AUUGAACGCUGGCGGCAGGCCUAACACAUGCAAGUCGAACGGUAACAGGAAGCAGCUUGCUGCUUCGCUGACGAGUGGCGGACGGGUGAGUAAUGUCUGGGAAACUGCCUGAUGGAGGGGGAUAACUACUGGAAACGGUAGCUAAUACCGCAUAACGCCGCAAGACCAAAGAGGGGGACCUUCGGGCCUCUUGCCAUCGGAUGUGCCCAGAUGGGAUUAGCUAGUAGGUGGGGUAACGGCUCGCCUAGGCGACGAUCCCUAGCUGGUCUGAGAGGAUGACAAGCCACACUGGAACUGAGACACGGUCCAGACUCCUACGGGAGGCAGCAGUGGGGAAUAUUGCACAAUGGGCGCAAGCCUGAUGCAGCCAUGCCGCGUGUAUGAAGAAGGCCUUCGGGUUGUAAAGUACUUUCAGCGGGGAGGAAGGCGAUAAGGUUAAUAACCUUGUCGAUUGACGUUACCCGCAGAAGAAGCACCGGCUAACUCCGUGCCAGCAGCCGCGGUAA
This 506-nucleotide ribosomal RNA is filed under the name uncultured bacterium. Its description in RNAcentral is "partial 16S ribosomal RNA". It matches the Rfam family "Bacterial small subunit ribosomal RNA", at positions 30 to 523 of the family's 1533-position model. The record is from RNAcentral.